AGACGCGUAAAGUCCCGGCAGGCUGCAGGUAUCGUAGGUGUAGUGCAUCCCGGGGACCUGGUCCUCAAGUUGUAGUUCUCCGUGUUGCCGUGACCCUUUUUUUUGGCCAGGUAGACGGCACAACCGUCAUUGCUCUCCUUGGUCAAAUCACCUAAAGUUGGGAACUGCCUUUAAGUCCUUUCCCCUCAUCCUGAUCGAUGCUGACAGGUAGGGUACUCCCUCCCGCAACUAUAAAGGAUGAUUUGCCGCCCUCGAGAUAGCAGAAGGGGACGCCAGCAGUUCGAGGCUUCGUGAAGCCCAUCGACGGCCUCCAGGUUAGUCCGGCAGCAGCGAAAGCCCCACACCGCGAGAAUUUGAUACGCGGGGUCUUGGACAGCAAGCACCUCAAGCGCACGCUUAAGCUGCUGCGUUCCGUGCUCCACAUCUUCCGGGCCAAAGGAACAGCGUCCUGCCGGUUCCUACAGUUUGGUUGCAUACUCUCAGUGGGCCAGACCAACAGUGCUCAGAGCUGCCAAGGAGUUGCUGAAGAGGAAAAUGGGCACAACAGUUGACGUUCUGAACAUUCUGGUUACCAAAGGCUCCAUAAAGAUGGGAGCAUUCUCUGGUGGGGAACAUAAAGAGCACAGCUUCUGUGGUUGAAGAUAAGUUUCUCACAUAACUGUAAUGCUAAGCCUUCUAAGACAUAUGCUGAUGCCCAAAGCCCUUAAUAAGAGAACCGCAAAGCUGGAGGAAUUGUAUCUAACAGAGCAAAUAUGCCUGCCAUUGCCCAGGAAGAGGGAGGGAACUCCAGACUCCUCUUCUUUCUAUUCUAUGAAGCAAGAUGUGGAUCUUAAUGAGAACCCAGACCAGAAGUCCCACAAUCCCAACCAUUGCCAGCUCUGAACUCUAGGAUAGACUCUCAGCCCAGGGCAAAGCAAGACUACCAGAGUUAAUUCAAGAUGUCUCAGAUACAACCCACCUUUGUCAACGUCCAUGGGCUGGAAAGAAAAGAGAAACUGAAGUGAGUAUCACCAUGAGGGAUUUACACUCAUUCCUCCCCACUUGACUAAUCCCUGAAUCAACUCCCUACCCUACCUGGCUGGGCAGGCACAGAGAUGGGCAGUUCUACCACUCGGUACCAGGGUCCUAUCUCACCUCAUCAUCCACUUUCGGCUUCUCAAAGUAGCUGUGCCUCUUCUUCUCUUCCUCUCUCUCUCUGUCCCGCUCCCGCUCCCGAUCUCGUUCUCGCUCCCGUUCUCUGUCACGGUCUCUGUCUCUCUCCCGAUCACGCUCUCGUUCCCGGUAUCUCUCCCGCUCCUUGUCCCGAGGAGUCUUGGUUGUGGAUGGCACAUAA
This is a long non-coding RNA of Lynx canadensis (Canada lynx), 1333 nucleotides long. RefSeq lists it as uncharacterized. NCBI's taxonomy places the organism in Eukaryota, Metazoa, Chordata, Mammalia, Carnivora, Felidae. The transcript is spliced from 2 exons. The record is from RefSeq and is a predicted model, not a curated record.